ACGGUCGGACAUCGUGAGGUUAGUGCAAAGGCAUAAGCCAGCUUGACUGCGAGCGUGACGGCGCGAGCAGGUACGAAAGUAGGUCUUAGUGAUCCGGUGAUUCUGAAUGGAAAGGCCAUCGCUCAACGGAUAAAAGGUACUCCGGGGAUAACAGGCUGAUACCGCCCAAGAGUUCAUAUCGACGGCGGUGUUUGGCACCUCGAUGUCGGCUC
RNAcentral lists this ribosomal RNA (212 nucleotides) under Arsenophonus endosymbiont of Bemisia tabaci Asia II 3. RNAcentral describes it as "partial 23S ribosomal RNA". It matches the Rfam family "Bacterial large subunit ribosomal RNA", at positions 2327 to 2538 of the family's 2925-position model. The record is from RNAcentral. Lineage: Bacteria; Pseudomonadati; Pseudomonadota; Gammaproteobacteria; Enterobacterales; Morganellaceae.